This 253-nucleotide ribosomal RNA is filed under the name uncultured bacterium. RNAcentral's name for it is "partial 16S ribosomal RNA". It matches the Rfam family "Bacterial small subunit ribosomal RNA", at positions 524 to 776 of the family's 1533-position model. The record is from RNAcentral.
UACGAAGGGGGCGAGCGUUGUUCGGAAUUACUGGGCGUAAAGGGCGCGUAGGCGGCUUGGCAAGUGGAAGGUGAAAUCCCUCGGCUUAACCGAGGAACUGCCCUCCAAACUGCUUCGCUUGAGACCGGGAGAGGUGAGUGGAAUUCCCAGUGUAGCGGUGAAAUGCGUAGAUAUUGGGAGGAACACCAGUGGCGAAGGCGGCUCACUGGACCGGUACUGACGCUGAUGCGCGAAAGCGUGGGGAGCAAACGGG